RNAcentral lists this unclassified non-coding RNA (281 nucleotides) under uncultured fungus. RNAcentral's name for it is "sequence contains ITS2". The stretch from base 1 to 58 matches the Rfam family "5.8S ribosomal RNA", at positions 97 to 154 of the family's 154-position model. Lineage: Eukaryota; Fungi. The record is from RNAcentral.
CCUUUGAACGCACAUUGCGCCUCCCGGCAUUCCGGGAGGCAUGCCUGUUCGAGCGUCAUCAAAACCACUCAAGCUUGUGUUUAUUCAUGACUUGGUAUUGGAACUGGAGUGGACAUGAGCCAUUCCUAUCCGAAUUCCAGUGGCAAAGUUGUCGUCACCUAUAAGCGUAGUAAUCAACAUUAUGUUUCGCUUUGGAGCAGACAAUCUUCCGCCGUUAACCACCCCCAUCCAAAAUUUAAGUGUUUGACCUCGGAUCAGGUAGGGAUACCCGCUGAACUUAA